Small nuclear RNA from Gracilinanus agilis (Agile Gracile Mouse Opossum), 109 nucleotides. NCBI's taxonomy places the organism in Eukaryota, Metazoa, Chordata, Mammalia, Didelphimorphia, Didelphidae. The record is from RefSeq and is a predicted model, not a curated record.
GCACUUUUUCUUCAGCAGCACAUAUACUAAAAUUAGAAAGAUACAGAGAAGAUUAGUAUGGCUGCUGUGCAAAGAUGAUACACAAAUUCAUGAAGCACUCUAUAUUUUU